UCAAAAUGGCCCUGCUGCAGAGACAGCAGAAGUAGGAGAGAGAUUUGAUGUAUGGUUUUUUUCCUGUUAUUGUGAUGAUGUACAGCGUAGUUACUUGUCCUCUGGCUUAUAUAUUUAUUUUAUUAUGUGCCUUUUCGAGUCCUGCCGAAUCUGCAAAAAGCGAUAUUGAACUAGAUGCCAAAGCACAGCAUAACCAUCAGAUUGACAGCUUAAAUUUACUUUUGUAUACAUUCUUACUUACUCUGACAGUGUUAACCAUAUGGCUGUUCAAACACAGGAGAUUUCGAUUUAUCCACGAGACUGGACUAGCUGUGAUUUAUGGCCUUAUUGUGGGAGCUCUUAUACGAUAUGCUGGAAAUGCCAGUUCUGUUGUACACAUGACUGUUGUACCUGAGAAAGACAAAUAUAAUCUGUCUUUGCCUCCGGAUUCCUUAUGGCUACGUUUUCCAAACAAAGGAGGGUCACCAAAUGUUCCAAACAAGACGUAUGCCUAUACAUUCAGAGGAGAAAUUGAUGUUGAUGACAGUGAAAUUGAACUUAAGGCUACAUUUGAUCCAGAAAUAUUUUUCAAUAUUAUAUUACCACCAAUCAUUUUUCAUGCUGGUUAUAGCUUGAAAAGGAAAUACUUCUUUCGGAACCUUGGGGCUAUUUUGACUUACGCACUGAUUGGCACAACACUGUCGUCGUUUGCUGUGGGUGCUUUGAUGUAUGGUUUCAUCCAGUUGCGGCCCUAUCUGAAGUCAAGUUUCACGUUUUUGGAUACUUUAUACUUUGGUGCCCUCAUUUCUCCAACAGAUCCUUUGACAAUAUUAGCCAUUUUCAAUGACCUUCAUGUUGAUGUCAAUUUGUAUGCACUUGUUUUUGGUGAAAGUGUCCUAAAUGAUGCAGUUGCUAUUGUUUUAAGCGGAGCUAUACAAAAUUAUGGAGAAAGGUACCAAUCAGGAUCAGGAGGUUUUGAAACUGAUGCAUUCUUUAGAGCAUUGGGGGAUUUCUUCGUGAUUUUCAGUUUAUCUCUCCUGAUUGGAACUGUCAUGGGAUGCAUUACAGCCUUGAUGACCAAGUUCACGAGGGUGAGGGAUUUUCCUCUCCUGGAAUCAGCUUUGUUUGUGCUGAUGUCAUACAGCACGUUUCUUAUCGCAGAGGCAUCUGACCUCACAGGUAUUGUGGCUGUCCUGUUUUGUGGAAUCUGUCAAGCACAUUAUACCUACAACAAUUUGUCCGUAGACUCUCGAACAAGGACAAAGAAGUUGUUUGAACUGCUCAACUUUCUUGCUGAAAAUUUUAUAUUUGUAUACAUAGGUGUUUCUAUGUUCACAUUCCCAAAACACCAUUUUGAUCCUGGAUUCAUCAUUGUGGGAUUUUUAUGUGCAAUGGUGGGUCGUGCAGUAAACAUUUAUCCUCUAUCAUUCCUUUUAAAUCUAGGCAGGAAACCAAAGAUCGCAUAUAACUUUCAGCAUAUGUUGUUUUUUGCAGGUCUGAGGGGAGCUAUGUCUUUCGCAUUGGCCAUCCGAAAUACUGUGUCAGAUGCAAGGCAAGCCAUGUUGACAACUACUUCACUGAUAGUUAUCAUCACAGUAAUAGUGCAAGGUGGUGCAACAAUGCAAUUGUUGACGUGGUUCAAGAUACCAUCCCAUCAAGAAGGAGAACCUUCAGGGAUGUGGGACGAAUCAAGUGUCGGGGUGGAAGAAGAAGUAGAAAUGCUUCCCUAUACAGGAGUUAGAAAUGUAUACAAUUCAAUGGGGACAACAUUGAGGGAGGACACAUCGGAGCAGCCUCGUGAGAGCAACAAAGUCAAUGAAAAAGCUUGGCUUGCUCGUAUUUGGGGGAACUUUGAUGUAAGAUAUAUGAAACCAUUGUUGACACAUGCACGUCCCACACUAUUGGAAACCCUUCCUGUAUGCUGUAAUCCUCUCGCAAGAGUUUUGACAACAACUGAGCAAAUGACACAGGAGAAUCGUUCCAGAUCACAAAUGGAUUCUGAUUCCGAUUUGUGUAUAGAUGACAAUGAUGUCAGUUACACAAAUCACCGUCGAUCCAGUGGUGCGAGAAACUUAUACGUAUCUAGUCCACAACAAACUGGGAACCGCCUUUAAUUGUGAAGUUUGAGAAGUUCUGUUGUGCUCUUAUGCUGAAGCAGAAAUGGGCUUUGUGAUUCUGUUUUAUAAUAGUGACAGUGUGACAAUAUCUGGUGAUUUAGGCCUUGGCAGUCGUGUAGUGGACACACGUGUUCGAAUCCCUGGACCUGGUGGAAAUAACAUUUAAUCUGAUUAGGAAGUAUCAGGAAGGCUGUGAAAUAAGAAGAACACAACAGUAUU
RNAcentral lists this unclassified non-coding RNA (2315 nucleotides) under Schistocerca americana (American grasshopper). RNAcentral's name for it is "sodium/hydrogen exchanger 7, transcript variant X1". Lineage: Eukaryota; Metazoa; Arthropoda; Insecta; Orthoptera; Acrididae. The record is from RNAcentral.